RNAcentral lists this ribosomal RNA (1023 nucleotides) under Salmonella enterica. RNAcentral describes it as "partial 23S ribosomal RNA". It matches the Rfam family "Bacterial large subunit ribosomal RNA", at positions 161 to 1222 of the family's 2925-position model. The record is from RNAcentral. Lineage: Bacteria; Pseudomonadati; Pseudomonadota; Gammaproteobacteria; Enterobacterales; Enterobacteriaceae.
AAUCCAUAGGUUAAUGAGGCGAACCGGGGGAACUGAAACAUCUAAGUACCCCGAGGAAAAGAAAUCAACCGAGAUUCCCCCAGUAGCGGCGAGCGAACGGGGAGGAGCCCAGAGCCUGAAUCAGCAUGUGUGUUAGUGGAAGCGUCUGGAAAGGCGCGCGAUACAGGGUGACAGCCCCGUACACAAAAGCGCAUGUGCUGUGAGCUCGAUGAGUAGGGCGGGACACGUGGUAUCCUGUCUGAAUAUGGGGGGACCAUCCUCCAAGGCUAAAUACUCCUGACUGACCGAUAGUGAACCAGUACCGUGAGGGAAAGGCGAAAAGAACCCCGGCGAGGGGAGUGAAAAAGAACCUGAAACCGUGUACGUACAAGCAGUGGGAGCACAGGUUUACCUGUGUGACUGCGUACCUUUUGUAUAAUGGGUCAGCGACUUAUAUUCUGUAGCAAGGUUAACCGAAUAGGGGAGCCGGAGGGAAACCGAGUCUUAAUUGGGCGUUAAGUUGCAGGGUAUAGACCCGAAACCCGGUGAUCUAGCCAUGGGCAGGUUGAAGGUUGGGUAACACUAACUGGAGGACCGAACCGACUAAUGUUGAAAAAUUAGCGGAUGACCUGUGGCUGGGGGUGAAAGGCCAAUCAAACCGGGAGAUAGCUGGUUCUCCCCGAAAGCUAUUUAGGUAGCGCCUCGUGAAUUCAUCUCCGGGGGUAGAGCACUGUUUCGGCUAGGGGGCCAUCCCGGCUUACCAACCCGAUGCAAACUGCGAAUACCGGAGAAUGUUAUCACGGGAGACACACGGCGGGUGCUAACGUCCGUCGUGAAGAGGGAAACAACCCAGACCGCCAGCUAAGGUCCCAAAGUCAUGGUUAAGUGGGAAACGAUGUGGGAAGGCCCAGACAGCCAGGAUGUUGGCUUAGAAGCAGCCAUCAUUUAAAGAAAGCGUAAUAGCUCACUGGUCGAGUCGGCCUGCGCGGAAGAUGUAACGGGGCUAAACCAUGCACCGAAGCUGCGGCAGCGACACUGUGUGUU